GUCUUCUCCAAAAACAUAAAAGUACACAUACUGGAGAGAAAUCGUAUGAUUGUAAACAGUGUGGUAAAGCCUUUGCACGUAAUGAUCAUCUCCUAAGAAAUAAAAGAACACAUACUGGAGAGAAAUUCUUUGAAUGAAAUCAAUGUGGUAAAGCCUUUUCACAGCACAGUAGGCUCCAAAUACAUAAAAGAAUACAUUCUGGAGAGAAACUCUAUGAUUGUAACCAGUGUGAUAAAGCCUUUCACAAAACAGCUAUCUCCAUCUACAUUAACAAAUACAUACUGCAGAGAAGCCCUUUAAAUGUAACCACAGUGGUAAAGCCUUUGCAUGUCAUAGUCAUCUUCAGAAUCAUAAAAGAAUUCAUCCUGAAGAGAAACUCUAGAAAUAUUUUUAAUAUGGUGAAGCGUUUUAUCAUGAUCAUGAAGGAAUUCAUACUGGAAAGAAACCUUAUGAAUACAUUUAAUAUGGUAAUGCCUUUGCACAUUUCUGCAGUCUUCAUCAUUUGAAAGUAUUUAUAGUGGAAAGAAAUUUGAUGAAUGUAAACCAUGUGGUAAAGCCUUUGUGUGAUGGCUUCUGCUGAGAUCCAACAUACCUGAAACACCAGGUCAAAGCAAAUGAACAAGAAUUCGUUGUAAUUAAGGUGCUAGUGAUUGUUCAGGGCGACAGAACAUACUCAUAGACAUCUGUGCCAAGUCACAGCUACCUGUUCCACCAAUCCAGAUUUAGGGAUAGAGGCUUUCUUUAUGUAGUUGACCUAUGUCCCCUGAUACAGAAUGUAGGUUUUACAGCCUAACCACCAUAACCACUUGUUCUUUUGUGGUUAGCAACAGGCAUUAUGCUUUAGGGAACAAAAGAGGAAUAAUGGAAGCUGAUCAGUUAGUGGAAAGCCUCCAUCACCCCUAAGGCCUAGGAAAGUGAACUCAGUUUCUCCCUAUGAAUAAAUGGAGGAAGUAACAAAAAGGUAGUAUUUAUGGCACAUUUCUAUUGCUUUCUCCUAACAGUUGCAUACCACAUUUAUCUUCGAACAUAUAAAAGAACAUAUCCUGUAGGGAAACCCUAUGAAUAAGCAAUGUGUUAAACCUUUUCAUGUAGCAGCAGACUUAAAAAUCAUGAGAAAAGUCAUCCUACAGAGAAACCCAUAAAUGUAGCCAGUUUAGAAAUGAUACUUAAUGGUAUCUUUAUAAAAAAGUAAAACCUUUGGUGUGUAAUCAAUCUGUUAAAGGCUUUGCAUAUCAUAGUAGUCUUUGAGCAUUUUAAAGAACUCAUACUGAAGGAGACCUGUGUCUAUAAAUGAUUUUCUAAAAUCUUUAGCCAUACUCAGUUACACAAGAUUAUUCUGGAGGAUAAAAGUGGCAAGUGUCAAUAAUCUAUUCAAACAAUAUGAUGUCUGUCUUUACUUUGUUUGCACUUGCAACUCAUAUUGACAAAAGCUUAGAGAAUUUAAACUAGGUGACCAUUUUAGAUUUCAGAAUUCUCUUUCAUUAUAUCAAAUAACUCAUCCAGGUGUAAAACUUUAUGGGUGUGUAUUAGUGCCUUUGGUGUUGUUGUGAUAAAACACAAUGUCUAAGGCAAGUCAUGAAAGAGUUUAGUUUGGCUUAUGGUUCUAGAAGGAUGUGGGAUAGCCAUGAAAGUGGCAAGGCAGCAAGUGUCAUGCAUGGCAGCUAAAGCCAGGAGCUUAGAGUUCGCAUCCUCAACCAGCAGCACUUAGCAGAAAGUGUGAAGUAGAAGAGGUGUAUGGAAGUAAACUCUCAAGCCCACACAUGUGGAAUGUUUCCUCUAGCAGGGCACAAUUUCCAAAAUCAUCCCAAAUGAUAACUCCACCUGAGAAGCAUUAAUUUUUAUGACUGCAAACCUACAUGCAUGAACCAGUUGCAGUUGCAAGAACCAGUUCUGUUGCAUGAACCAAGGCUGUUGCGUAUGCAUAUGCACAGUUCAAAAUGAGGAAAAUCUCUGUCAGUUACAGGAAUAAAUGCUUACAUAAGAAAAACAGUGAGGAAUAAACUUUUGUUUCACAAAUUGUUUUAAUUUUGAUUAUGUGCUGUCAGUGUGUCUUUGUGAAUGUGAGCAUGUCAGGCUGGUUCUGAAGAAAACUGGACCCAAGCAUGUUCUUGUAGCAGGAAUUACAGAAAGUUGCCAAACACCUGACCCUCGUACUAGGAAUGAACUUGUCUUAGUUGCACAGCGAUCAUUCUUCCCUGUAAAUAGUUUGAAGCCUGGAUGUAUCAUCUUGAUGUCAGGAAGCAGGAAGAACUCAAGGAAGAGAAAAACCCUACUCAUGCCAUGACACAUAUGUGAAGACUGGGAGACAACUGUGUGGUGUGUACCUUAGCUAUCUAUAUGAUUCUGAAGGUCAAGUUACCAAGUUUGCACACCACAGACCUUGCCCACUUAGCCAUCUCAGUGAGGAUCAAAUAAAAAUAGUUGAAACAUUACACCAGUACAAUAUUGUCUUCUUUUCAGGUUGUAAACAUAUUGUCAUCCAAGGAUGGAGAAUUACAGGAUGAUUUGUGUAAUAAAACCUAUUUGCAAAUGAAAA
This is a long non-coding RNA of Psammomys obesus (fat sand rat), 2536 nucleotides long. RefSeq lists it as uncharacterized. NCBI's taxonomy places the organism in Eukaryota, Metazoa, Chordata, Mammalia, Rodentia, Muridae. The record is from RefSeq and is a predicted model, not a curated record. The transcript is spliced from 2 exons.